Molecule: unclassified non-coding RNA, 309 nt
Filed under: Hevea brasiliensis (rubber tree)
Lineage: Eukaryota; Viridiplantae; Streptophyta; Magnoliopsida; Malpighiales; Euphorbiaceae
Source: RNAcentral
AUCAGAUCUCACUCUCUGCUUCUUAGUGGCAAAAUUCACACUAGGAACAAUGUCGCGUCGCUUCAUUCUCCUCAUCUCUCUCACCACUCUCCUCAUCUUCUCUAAACUCUCUCCCACUCUCUCCAAAACUCAAAACGACAAGGUUCAAGAUCCCGACGACGACGAAGAUCUCAGCUUCCUCGAGGAGGAAAAUGAUAAAAACGACGCCGUUCCUCACGACAAUCACUACCCCGAUUCUGACCAGUUCGAGGGAGAUGAGAUUGAUAGCGACCACUUUGAUAACUACUCUGAUUUUGACGAUUCCGAAUC